AGCUGGGAAGGAAGGACGCUGGGAGGGGAGGAUAGGAAAGGGAGCUGGGAGGAAGCCCCGCGACCCGGGCCCACCUCAGCAGCGUCUCCAGCGCGCCCUCGUGCUUGUCCAGCGGGCGGCCGAGCGCCGAGCGCCGCAGCUUGCUGAGCUCCUCGGCCGCGCGGCAGUACUGGGCCUGCUCCUCGCCGCCGCUCGGGUACGUCUGCUGGAUGAACUUGACCAGCGGCUUGGCCAGGUCCACCUCCGAGGUCUUCUUCAGCUGCACCCAGAUGAACGACGCCAUGGUGAGCGCCCGGCCGCCGCUUCGGGCCGGACAGACGAAGGGACAGCGACGACGGCCUAGGCGCGCUCGGCACCGGCAGCGGACGAGCGGACCGACGGGCCGACGGACUGGGCCGCCAGCGCUUGGAGCCGGCCACUUCCGGGAGCCCCCACGCAGGCGCAGUCAGAGGGGCGCGCCGCUCGGUCACGUGACCGUGCCACCAAAGCGUCGCUCACCUGGUCUAGCCAGUGUGGCGCCUGCGCGGUGCGAUCAGGCAGUAGCUUCCUGCGAUGAUUAAACUUUCAAGAAGAUUCUUUUGGUUGUUGUGGUUUGGUCUGCUUGAUUUGUUCGAGACAGGGCUUCUCUGUGUACCCCUGCUGUCUUGAAACUCACUUGCAGACCAGGCCGGCCUCGAACUCUCAGAGAUCCUCCUGCCUCUGCCUCCCCAAUGCAAGAAUUAAAGGCUUGCACUAACUAC
Molecule: long non-coding RNA, 740 nt
Filed under: Rattus norvegicus (Norway rat)
Lineage: Eukaryota; Metazoa; Chordata; Mammalia; Rodentia; Muridae
Description: long non-coding RNA NONRATT028107
Source: RNAcentral